RNAcentral lists this ribosomal RNA (328 nucleotides) under uncultured eukaryote. RNAcentral's name for it is "partial 18S ribosomal RNA". It matches the Rfam family "Eukaryotic small subunit ribosomal RNA", at positions 1470 to 1796 of the family's 1831-position model. The record is from RNAcentral.
CCCUUAGAUGUCCGGGGCCGCACGCGCGCUACACUGACGGAGCCAGCGAGUAUAAACCUUGGCCGAGAGGUCUGGGAAAUCUUGUGAAACUCCGUCGUGCUGGGGAUAGAGCAUUGUAAUUAUUGCUCUUCAACGAGGAAUUCCUAGUAAGCGCAAGUCAUCAGCUUGCGUUGAUUACGUCCCUGCCCUUUGUACACACCGCCCGUCGCUACUACCGAUUGAAUGGCUUAGUGAGGCUUCCGGAUUGGUUUAGAGAAGGGGGCAACUCCAUCUUGGAACCGAGAAGCUAGUCAAACUUGGUCAUUUAGAGGAAGUAAAAGUCGUAACA